UACAGAGGUCUCAAGCGUUGCUCGGAUUCAUUGGGCGUAAAGGGUGCGUAGGCGGCGCGGUAAGUCGGGUGUGAAAUUUCGGAGCUUAACUCCGAAACUGCAUUCGAUACUGCCGUGCUUGAGGACUGGAGAGGAGACUGGAAUUUACGGUGUAGCGGUGAAAUGCGUAGAUAUCGUAAGGAAGACCAGUGGCGAAGGCGGGUCUCUGGACAGUUCCUGACGCUGAGGCACGAAGGUCAGGGGAGCAAACGGG
RNAcentral lists this ribosomal RNA (253 nucleotides) under uncultured bacterium. Its description in RNAcentral is "partial 16S ribosomal RNA". It matches the Rfam family "Bacterial small subunit ribosomal RNA", at positions 524 to 776 of the family's 1533-position model. The record is from RNAcentral.